GGGUGCAUGACGCGCUCGUUGUAUUUCCUUCCUUGUGUGUCAACGCCAGUUCGCGAUCGAGGAAAACUCCAGGGUCAUGGUAGCUUGUCUCAGGGUGAGCGAACAGCCUUGGCAGAACUCAUUUGCGGACUGUUUCUUUCGUGUCUGGUUGCAAUGUCUUUGGCAUCUUGGAGACCUCGCCAUGGCUUUGCCAUGGGCGAGCGACCCAGGUGACUCGGCAUUUCCCUGACGCACAGACGAUCACUAAAUGGUUCUAUUCGACCCGUCUUGAAACACGGACC
This 281-nucleotide ribosomal RNA is filed under the name Prorocentrum sp. RNAcentral's name for it is "partial large subunit ribosomal RNA". The record is from RNAcentral. Lineage: Eukaryota; Dinophyceae; Prorocentrales; Prorocentraceae.